GAUUAACACGGAUUCAUUCGAACAGAAGUCGUUUUCGUCCAAGAAGAAGCUGCCGAACACUAUUGUCAUCGAUUUGAAGAAGCAAACCAUUACUGUACCCGAAUUAGAGCCGGUCGAACCAGAUAGUAUUUUUCACCAUAAUCUGUUCCUUAGUGAGGAAGCUCGUACGGAGAAGUGGGUUAAAGAGUUAUAUGUAUAUCGCCAGAAGGCUUUACAGCAAGGUGUCAAAAGCGGUUUGUGAUAAAAGACAAUGAAAUACUUUAUAAUUCCGAUUAUUUUAAGUCUCUUUCUAUACAAUUUUUUUAAAGUAAACCUGCCCACGAUUUGUGAGACCGAUUUCGAUUACAUUAGUCUACAGUCAAAUUCAUUUGUAGAGCUCUUUUCUAAUUACUUUAGUGUAAAAUAUGUUUUUUACGGGUCAUUUAAUAAUCAAAAGGUGGUGGUUAAAAAACUCCGAGGUGAUUUAAGCAGUGAUCUUUACAGUGAAACGAACACUAACUUUCAAAUUUGCCCCCCAAGUUUGCUUGCAGACUUCCUCGGUUUAAUCUCCAUGGAAAAUUCGACAAUGGCAAUGUAUUGGCACAGCAUUUUGCGAGUCAAUGCCGAACCUCUACUUCUACAGGUGCUCAAGGCCGAACACGCUUGGCCAGUUCCUCGAUAUUUCGGCAUGUAUGGCCGGUGUCUUGUUGAGUCGCAUUGUGGGGUCGCGUUAAAUGCGUUUAAAAAUGCAGAUUGGCAUGUACGUGCCGAAUUGACUCUGCAACUAUUAAACGCAGCAAAACGCUUCACCGGUCGACACCCCAAUUUUAGGUUUUAUCUCACCGAUGUCUCGCCGGAUAACAUUGCUGUGAGCGACAAUUUACAAGUCACGUUUGUUGAUCUAGAAAACGUCAUCGUUACCGGCAAACACAAUGCAAAUUUAAAUCUGCACAUCUCCGAGCGGUUUGACGAUGCCGACGGUUUCGCAUUUUCUGAAAGUGCAAUAUGCAACAGUUCAAUAAGCGAUCAUAAUUAUUACGCCAUUUGCAAGUUGCUUCUCUCAGACAGAGCUCCUUGGCCCAUGAUGGAAGGUGGUUUGUUACAUACUCCACCAACGAAUGUUGUCGAUAUAUACUCUCACCUAAUUGCACUCAUUCACUCUUGCAGUCAUGAUGUAAAUUGUUUUGAUGCUGUCGAAAAGAUCAUUUAGAAACGAGACACAAGGUAUGUCUACUUUCCCGAAACUUGGAGGUUGAGUGGUGCUCCUUGGAUCAAAGUGGCGGUUUCCGGCUUCUGAACUUAAAUUCCUAAUAGCUAUGAUGGUAACUCAAUUCUUCUGGGGGGGAUAUAUCCCCUUAAUCCCCCCCCCCCCGUAAAUACGCCACUGCUUCGUAAAUCACCUUCUAGUCUCCCGAACAGCUCCAAAAAUAUUAAGGGAUACCGCGUCAGAUUAAAGUAAGCGUGGCGAGAGGGAGCGUUACAACCUUGAGAUUCUCGACGCCGUUGGAUUGAGUUCAAGACUAACGGAAGUAACAUAAUCCGCCAAUUUCCACACGCCAAAGUGGAACAAUGCGUCCAUAAAGUCCAGUGCGUUCAGCAGUUGAAGCAUAUACCUAUAUGUCGUUGGCUGAGAUCAUAGGCGCUCGUGUACGUCAAAUUAUACGUGCCACUCUGUCUAACGUGCUCAAAUAAAUCCCAUUUUAUACCUUUC
RNA transcript from Photinus pyralis (common eastern firefly), 1690 nucleotides. It is a transcript of the gene named divergent protein kinase domain 2A, with no coding region annotated. NCBI's taxonomy places the organism in Eukaryota, Metazoa, Arthropoda, Insecta, Coleoptera, Lampyridae. The record is from RefSeq and is a predicted model, not a curated record. The transcript has 6 exons.